Long non-coding RNA from Pseudophryne corroboree (corroboree frog), 960 nucleotides. RefSeq lists it as uncharacterized. The transcript has 3 exons. The record is from RefSeq and is a predicted model, not a curated record. Lineage: Eukaryota; Metazoa; Chordata; Amphibia; Anura; Myobatrachidae.
CUUAAGCCUCAACCAGCCAGUCUGUUAGCUACCCUGCCUGUCAGUAGUGACAGACAGCCAACAAUACAGAGAACAACAGCCAUCGCCAACCAGUAAAAAUUAUCUUGCCAACCACAGACAGUGACAGUUAUCCAGCCAGCACCAGCCAAUGACAGUUAUAUAGCCAGCACCAGCCAGUGACUGUUAUCCUGCCAGCACCAGCCAGUGACAGUUAUCCUGCCAGCACCAACCAGUGACCGUUAUCCUGCCAGCCAGUGACAGUUAUCCAGCCAACAGCAGCCAGUGACACUUAUCCAGCCAGUGACAGUUAUUCAGCCAACAGCAGCCAGUGACCAGUAUCCUGCCAGCACCAGUCUGUGACAGUUAUCCAGACAGUACCAGCCAGUGACAGUUAUCCAGUCAGCACCAGCUAGUGACAGUUAUCAUCCCAGCACCAGCCAGUGACAGUUAUCCAGUCAGUAGCAGCCAGUGAUCGUUAUGUAGUCAGCACCAACCAGCUCACCAGCUAGGAAGUGGGGAGUGAUAGCAAGGACAGGACCAGUGUCGACAAAGACAGGUGCCCUUUCCUAAACUUUCUGUCCUCUGGAUCACCUUUUCUAUAUGUUGUAGUACUAUCAUCAUGACUGGCAGCAGCCAUGACACUAGUACUUGGUUGCUGCUCCUGCUCUUCUAUCAACUGAUUGUGAUCCAUACCGAUUCAGUGCUUAUGAUUAUGUGGACACAGUGAGAAAACUUUCAAGUGGCUGAAGGUUAUAAACCAUAAGAAGUAUGAGGAGGAAGAAGAGAAAUUUCCCUGUAAGUCUUGAAGUGUGCUUGUCAUUUACAUACAGUAUGGCAUCUGCUAUAAGUGAUGAACUAAUGUCCCCUGGCCUUGACAACUGUUCCUAAUAUUCAUAGACAGUUCAAAGUGUAAAAUUUUUUUUUGCAGAUUAAGCAGAAUUCUCGCCAUGUAUUUCUUCU